This 97-nucleotide transfer RNA is filed under the name Metarhizium acridum. RNAcentral describes it as "tRNA-Ala". It matches the Rfam family "tRNA". From Rfam's summary of the family: Transfer RNA (tRNA) molecules are approximately 80 nucleotides in length. Their secondary structure includes four short double-helical elements and three loops (D, anti-codon, and T loops). Further hydrogen bonds mediate the characteristic L-shaped molecular structure. tRNAs have two regions of fundamental functional importance: the anti-codon, which is responsible for specific mRNA codon recognition, and the 3' end, to which the tRNAs corresponding amino acid is attached (by aminoacyl-tRNA synthetases). tRNAs cope with the degeneracy of the genetic code in two manners: having more than one tRNA (with a specific anti-codon) for a particular amino acid; and 'wobble' base-pairing, i.e. permitting non-standard base-pairing at the 3rd anti-codon position. RNAcentral also lists the same sequence under 1 other name. The record is from RNAcentral. Lineage: Eukaryota; Fungi; Ascomycota; Sordariomycetes; Hypocreales; Clavicipitaceae.
GGGCGGAUGGUUUAGUGGUAUAAUACUCCCUUAGCAUGGUUCCCCCUAACAGGGUCUGAUUUGGGAGUGGUCCGGGGUUCGAUUCCCCGUUCGUCCA